CAGCAUCUUUCGUUGGAAAUCUCAUCCCAAUACAAAGAUCACCAGUCUCUGAAUAAGUCAUAAGGCUCGGUAUUAUAUGAGCAUACUCGGGAAAUUCAUGAGCUUGCAUUGCAGGAAGAUCACGGCUAGAUCCGAUACUUGAUGACAAAUGGGGACCAGGGGCCGGAAUGAUUUCUACAUCAGAAUCUCUAUCCUCUUCAUCUUCAUCCUCGUUCUCAUACUCCUCGAACACAUAGGAUUCACCGAAUGGUACAAUGUUCAAAUCAAUAGCAGCUUCGGUUGCUACUUGGGAGCUUGAAGGUAUCUCGGC
Molecule: long non-coding RNA, 310 nt
Filed under: Gossypium barbadense (sea-island cotton)
Lineage: Eukaryota; Viridiplantae; Streptophyta; Magnoliopsida; Malvales; Malvaceae
Description: long non-coding RNA (GBAR_LNC007806)
Source: RNAcentral